CACGAAUUAAGGCGAGCUAAUUAAUUGUAAAUAUUAGUUACUAAAUGUUGCAGAAUUGUGUAAAACUUUUAAUUAGGAGUGAUAGGCUUCUCACGUCUUAGGAUAACUUGAUGUUUAUGAAAUAUAUUAAGUAUAUAGUCAAUUAAAGAGUGCCAAGAUUCUUUAUGAGUACAAAUGUUAAUUAAUUCGCUAUUCAAACUAUAACUAGUAGACGCCUUUUUAAAGAAACAUAAAUCUUUUUAAGAUUGUAUAAUAUAAUAAACUAUUCUUAAUCUAAUAAAACAUAGAUAAUGUUAUUAUAAGUAGUAAAUCAAUUAUUUGAAAUGAACUCGGCAAUAUUUUCUCCAACUGUUUAUCAAAAACAUAGCUAGUAGAAUUUAAUUAUUAGUAUUUUCUGCUCCAUGAGAAUUUAAAUAGCCGCAGUACCCUGACUGUGCUAAGGUAGCAUAAUCAAUUGGCUUGUAAUUUAAGUCUGGUAUGAAUGAAAUAAUGAGAGAAAAGCUGUAUAGUAAAUAAAAAACAAAAUUAUUUUGUAAGUGAAAACACUUACUGAAAAUUAUUAGACGAGAAGACCCUAGAAAUUUUUAAAGAUUGUCAAACACUUUUUUGUUGGGGCAACAUUGUUAAAAGUAACUAACAGUAAAACACAAGAAAUUAUUUGAUAGAUUAAAUUACUCUAGGGAUAACAGCGUAAUGUAUGUACGUUUGCGACCUCGAUGUUGGAUUAGGAAAUAACAGCUUAGAA
This 745-nucleotide ribosomal RNA is filed under the name Xanthomelon obliquirugosum. Its description in RNAcentral is "partial 16S ribosomal RNA". The record is from RNAcentral. Lineage: Eukaryota; Metazoa; Mollusca; Gastropoda; Stylommatophora; Camaenidae.